Molecule: ribosomal RNA, 254 nt
Filed under: uncultured bacterium
Lineage: Bacteria
Description: partial 16S ribosomal RNA
Rfam family: Bacterial small subunit ribosomal RNA
Source: RNAcentral
UACGUAGGGACCAAGCGUUGUUCGGAUUUACUGGGCGUAAAGGGCGCGUAGGCGGCUUAACAAGUCACUUGUGAAAUCUCCGGGCUUAACUCGGAACGGCCAAGUGAAACUGUCAAGCUAGAGUGCAGAAGGGGCAAUCGGAAUUCUUGGUGUAGCGGUGAAAUGCGUAGAUAUCAAGAGGAACACCUGAGGUGAAGACGGGGUUGCUGGGCUGACACUGACGCUGAGGCGCGAAAGCCAGGGGAGCAAACGGG